Molecule: long non-coding RNA, 8480 nt
Filed under: Nicotiana benthamiana
Lineage: Eukaryota; Viridiplantae; Streptophyta; Magnoliopsida; Solanales; Solanaceae
Description: long non-coding RNA (NBEN_LNC019133)
Source: RNAcentral
AUAUUUUCAAGUUUUGAAGUCGGGAGCCUGCCCGUAGAACAUAGGCAUAUAUUUUCAAGUUUGGAAAUUGGGAGCCCGCCCGUAUAGCAGAGGCAUAUAUUUCUCAAAGUUUUGAAGUCGAGAGCCCGCCCGUAGAACAAAGGCACAUAUUUUUCAAGUUUUGAAAUCGGGAGCCCACCCGUAGAACAGAGGAAUACAUUCAAUUUUAGCAGUCUGAAGGAAAGGAAAAACAUAUCAGUUGACAAUUUAAAGUGGCAACAAUAGAUUUCGCCAAGAGGAUACAAAACAUUAAGGCAACAAGAAAUACAAGGUCAAGUUUAAAGAAUCUAGAUAGGACUUUUGCAAUUCGUAGAUCAUAGCUUAGGCUAGCUUCUUUUAUUUUAACAUGGUGUAAUAAGGGAGGUCAGCAAGCAGUAACAACAACAACAACAGUUAAAUCACAGCUCCUGGUAGUCCCAGCUACCAGACAUUCCUCAACUACACUGACCUGAUUCCUUUUUAGCCAGGGAUAUGUAGGCAACAUCAGAAGCAGGGUGCGGUCAAAUCUUUCAAAAAUACUUCACACGAAGUAUUUGAACGGGCAAAAAUCACUCGAAUCUGCUCACUUAUCUUUGAACGAAAACUUUUCGUGUUCCUUAGCAAAAAGAAGCAGCUGUGAGCACGUGAUUUUUACCCUAUAUGAAUUACUCCCAGAAAUUCAAAAUGAUCUCUUUCAUUAUUUUAUAAUAUUGUGGAUUUUUAUUAUAUUUAGUGUUAAUUUUUGCAUUUUUAUUUGUGUAUUUUAAUUAAUAAAAAAUACCAAAAUACUUGGCAUUUGCAUUUAGGAUUUAAUUUCACAUUUUAGAGUUAAUUAGUAGUUAAGUUACUACAAAAAAUAAAGAAACAACAAAAAUGAUUCUUUGCAUUUCUACUUUAAAUUUGCCUUAAAUUUGCUUUUAAAUUAGGAAUUAAUUAGUAUAAUUUUAGAGUUAGGUUGCGUUCUUAUUUUUAAUCUUGCAUUUAAUAAAAUUAUGAAAAUUAAAUAAAAAGAGAGUAAAUAAGAACAAAGAAGAAAAGAGAACAAGUGAAAAAAAAUUAAAAGAAAGAUUGGUCUUAAUAAAAACAACAUCCAAGUCUUGGGCCAAAUAUGCAUCAGCCCAAGUUAAAAUACCCCAAAAACCCAUUGCAGACCAGGCCCAAAUCCCAUCCCAACCUGUCCUGCCCCCUUCGAGUGAAACGGCGUCGUUUUGGUCUCACUAGAUCCUGGUCGUCGAGGUAAUCUGAUCUAACGACCCUAAACCAUGGUUCACUAAAAUAUAAAAUGGUCAGACAAGCCCCCCACCCCCCAAAACCUUUGUCUUCUUCACCUAAACGAGAAACGUAACGCCGCCCUCCUCCGCCUGAAACUGCCACCGGAUAUCUCCUCACGGCGGCAGCCGAUCUCCAUCUCCAACCAAAAAAACACACCCCUGAAUCGUCUUCUUCUCCUCAUUUCAACCACUCUCUUCCCUCAAAACCUAGCCCAUCGUCUCGAAUUUCUAUUCGAAAUUCCAUCCAAAACACAAACUCGUCCAAACUUCACGAAAUUUACACCAUAUGUUCUUCCCAAGGCCCUCCUUCCAAACCUCUGGCUAGCUUUUUUUAAAUCCUCGAAUUUCAAAUUAAAAUUCGGCCCAAAAACCUAAGUUCCCCAAACCUCACCAUUCACACCACAUGGACUCCUUACCUCCCUCAAGAUGAAUCCACCGUUAGUGGCGUUCGAAUAUAACUGGAGUUGUUCAAAUGUUGAAUCGAGAGGCAUUAGAACCUUGAGUCAUAAUAGUGGGUUUUGUCCAAUUUUGUUUCUUUUCUUCUUCUCUCAUUGCUAUUUUGAAUUAAUUCCAUGAUUGUACUUCAUGAUUAGUUGAUAACAUAAGCCGGUUUUUCAAUUUCGUCAUUAGUUUAGGUAUUGUUUUAUUCAAGUUCUCUAAGUUUAGUUUUUAUUGUUUAUUUCUUAUUUGAAUUGAUUUUGUUCUCGUAGUUUUUUAACCUCUAGGUUAAUUUUCAUUUUUGGCUAUUCAUGUUCUGAUUUUUGUGUUCUGAGUUUGUGUUUGACUUUGAUUGUUUGAAUAAGUCAUCAAAUUUGGUGCUUUUUGAUCCCCAUUGCUAUGGGGAACAAAUGACGAAAUGCAAUCGAUUCCUCCAUUUAAGUGGUUCUCGCUUCUCCUUGUUCCUGUUCCUAACUCCUCCCCGNNNNNNNNNNNNNNNNNNNNNNNNNNNNNNNNNNNNNNNNNNNNNNNNNNNNNNNNNNNNNNNNNNNNNNNNNNNNNNNNNNNNNNNNNNNNNNNNNNNNNNNNNNNNNNNNNNNNNNNNNNNNNNNNNNNNNNNNNNNNNNNNNNNNNNNNNNNNNNNNNNNNNNNNNNNNNNNNNNNNNNNNNNNNNNNNNNNNNNNNNNNNNNNNNNNNNNNNNNNNNNNNNNNNNNNNNNNNNNNNNNNNNNNNNNNNNNNNNNNNNNNNNNNNNNNNNNNNNNNNNNNNNNNNNNNNNNNNNNNNNNNNNNNNNUCCUCCCCGGGUAGUUCCCAAUGUUUGGCACUUUCCAUACUUCAUGGGUGCAACAUCAACAAAUUCGCUCAUGAUCAAGUUACAACCUAAGAUCUAUGCCCAUAUUAUGUUAAAGAUUCUAAUUUUUUUUGAUUUCUGAUUUUAGCUUGAUUAUUAGUUUUGAUUUUAGGUAUUAAUUUGAGUUCCUAGCUUAGAUAAGUCGAAAAUGGCUUGAGAUACAUGUGUUUGAGUUGUUGGAAGCUUCAGAAGCUGUUUUGGUUUAAUUUCGAGUUUUAAUUUGGUUUCAAGUAAUUUCCUUUGGCUUCUACUGGUUUUAUUCAUCUCUCAUUAAUUUCUGGGCUUUGUUGGAGCAUUUCUGGGUUGAGUUCAAGUUUAUUAUUGCUUGCUAAAUUCUAGUUGUUGUUACUGGUGCUGACUCCUUUCCUCCUUUUUAUUUGAAUCAUAUUUCAGGCACACAUUUCGAAUUUAGCUUGAUGUAGCUUUGGAGUUGGAAAUGAAAUAAAAUGCUCGCUCAGUUGCUCUUUGAAUUGUGCCUGUUUGGACUAUUAUGAAUUAAUAGUUGAAUUGGUGUUAGAUGUACUUGUUCAAUGUAGUUUUAAUUCUGAUUUGUAUGUAGUAUAAUUAGGACUAUUUAAGACUAUUAAAUUUGUGGUAUUCAUUCAAUGGUGGUGUAGAUUAGCUUAAUAUCCUAUUUAGUUAGAUUUUGUUUUGUUAAGGAGAAUCAUGAACGUGGAAAUUGACUUAGAGAUCCUAAAACUUCAUUUAUAAAUGAUAUCUGGCUAUCUAGACUGUUUAGGAAAUUAGUAGUCCGUAAUUAAUUCAUAUCCAAUUGGAAAUUAAAGUCAGAAUAAGUUGUAGGAUGAAAUUGAAUCCAAAACAGAUUGUAAGUUGAUAUUAGUAUAAAUGCAGGCAGCAGUAUGAAACGGAUUUACAUUUGCUGAUUUAGUGGUUAAAAAUAGAAUCUUAUUUAGAUUGCAGGUCCAUAAGUGUAAAUUCUCGGUGUGAACUGUUUUCGCAUGAUUUGGGUGAAAUUUUGAUCCAUUUAAUCGUUGCAAAUGUUAAAAUGGCAAAUUGAUAUACUCUAGUUCCUCAUAAAUAAUCAUCUAGAUCAAUAAGAUAGAAAUCAAGGAAAAUACAUAAGUAAUUUGAGUGCUGAAUUGCAUGGUCAAUCGGAAUUACGGCUAGAGGUUGUCUAGGCCGUAUACUGAAUCUGAAACUAACUUCCUUAAUUCAUGCCUACUGUUUCAUGUAUUGGUCAAAUUUUAUUAUAAGGUGUUAUUUUCAAUUUAUUUUUAAAAAAAAAUCCUGCUGAAUUAAUUUUACUAGCUCAAUUAACCUCAGUUAUGAGUUCAGUUUAUUUUCAGUUUGGGCCUUUUGAACAGGCCCACCUUCAUUCAAGCUUACUAAAAUUCUCUAGUUUGAAUUUGAGCUUAAAUGCCUUAAUUCAUAGUUUAAAUGUAAAUUUGGGCCUUCGAGUUAGGUAGCGAAUUUGAGUUAAGAGGGUCACGCUUUUCUUUGAAUCCGGACUUGAAUUUGAGGCUCCAAUUCUAAUAAUAUUAAUUAACCAAGCCCGUUUAGAGACAAAUUGAAUAGAAAAUCGUAGUUUGCUUUAGGUUGGCCUUUAAAUAAUAAAUGAGGUGCGCCUCACCAAAUAAAAAAUGUAUAAAUUGCGUAGCCCUCUUAAAUGCUUGUAUUAAAAAUACUUAGAAUUUGGGGCGUGCCAUUUGGCGAAUUUCACGGCCUCCCGCAAAUCUAAUUGCACGUUAGUCGCUUUAGGCACAUUUUUAAAUAAUCUUACCUUCCUAAAAUACGGGUGUGCUUUUUAUACGACCCAAAUCCAAAUCCCAAAAUUUUCAAUAAAAAUGUGUCGAUGAUCUGGGUGCAUUUCAUGUGGCGUGAUCCAAAAAUAUGUUUUUAAACAACGUUCACUUUCUUAAAAAUUUAAUUAAAGCGGUAAAUAAUAUUUAAAAUUGCAUUAUAUGAUGAACAUGUAUAAAAAAUUAGAUUUUAGCCAUUCAUAAUAGUUUAAGCGACCGUGCUAGAACCACGGGAUCCGGGGGUGCCUAACACCUUCCCCCGGGUCAACAGAAUUCCUUACGUAGAAUAUUGGUUCGCAGACUCCAAUUGGGAAGUCAAAAAUUUUCCUCGAUUCAGGAUUCAAAAUAAAUUGGUGACUUGGGACACCAAAAACCAAACUCAUCCCAAGUGGCGACUCUGAUUGAAUAAAUAAUCCCGAUUCGAAUGGUGUCACUUAAAAUGGAAAUACUCUCUUAUACACUAUCCCCCGAGGUGGGUAUGAAAAAAGGAGGUGUGACACCGGGUCCCAGCAUGUGACCAAUGCCCUUAUGAUGUCCCCCCGAGGCAUAAUUUCCAACAAACCGAUGAGCCCUUUCAAAUAUUUUUUGACUUCAUCUUGCCCUUCUCCUCCUAGAUCUUUCCACCACAGACGCAACUCUAGAGAGAUUUUAUUCAUGAUUGAGAAUAGUUCAUUUUGAACAAUGCUCAUCCUGCAUAUUUAUUAUGGUUAUUUAUCACUUAUUUGACCUAAAAGGGAAAAAUGACACUAUUUUAUUCAAAUUUCUAAUUUAAAACAAACAACCGGUUUUGAAGAUACGACCUUUUAGUCCUUCGGGAAGAAGAACUUAAGGUUUUUCCCGCUAACCAUUGAAAAUGCCCCAAAGUGAUUGUUCUUGCAAAAACAGCCUUUCCGCGUCCUUUUGAGGACAUUCGGCUUAUUUUAGACAAUAAUGGCCUCACCUAACUUAUUCAUAUGAUAAAAUUAAAAUUUUUAUUGUUUUGGGAUACUUUUGCAAAAGGGGAAGUUGAACCCGAUGUGGGUUGCCUACGUAUCCCACACCAUGUGAGAAUCAAACUGCCAUAGCUCGGGCAAAUAAAACAAACUAUUUUUGAAAACAAGACUCUUUUUUAUAUAUUAUUUUCAGUGGAAAAUAAAAGAAACUAUUUUGAAAAUAAAACUCUUUUAGUUUUUCUUUUUCACUGGCAAAUAAAACAAACUAUUUUGAAAAUAAAACACUUUUCUUUUUUCAUUUUUCUCGAAAAUCUGGCAGAGUUUCGGCACUAUUUGGAUAUUGAUUUUAAAAUAAAUAGGUAAUUAACUCUCUACACUGUUAUUUCUCUGUUUUUCUCUCUUUUCUCAAUUUUCCAAUAUUCUAAAAAUCAGCCAGCAUGCAAGUCCAAAGCAAAUAAAUGCACAAGUAGCACGUAAGAUGCAUCAGGAUGGUCUUUUCAUUUCAGGUUACCUGCCUUAGAUGGACCCUACCCUGUGUUGAGUCUUUUCAUUUCAUGUUACCUGUCUUAGACGGACCCAACCCCUGUGUUGAGUUCCCUAAGUCAUAUGCACGUAAGGCAAAUAAGCGUUCCUACUAGGGAUCUGGCAUGAAUUCAAGUUAUUCUAGGUUCAAAACCUGGGUAUAUGUUCUAAACUAUGUACCCAAGCGGACGACUCGAGUCGAUAAGAAGGCUUAACCAGUGAGCACAUCCCCGGAGAUGAGAACAGAAGGGUCUCGUCACAGUUUAUAUACAUUCCAACUAAUAUCAAAGCGGUAAAGCAUUUAGCAUGAAAAAUGUAGGAAAAUCAGAUAAAGUCAUAUAUAACAUUUAUUCUAAGUUCAAAUUCUUAAACCCUGAAUCGAAGUUCCGAGUUUGUAUCCCCAUCAGAGUCGCCAGAGCUGUCACACCACCUUUUUCCUACACCCCGAAAGGGUAUAAAGGAGUUUUUUCAAUUAAAGGACAAUCGGAACAAAAUUUAUUAUUAAAAAUUCAGAGUCACCACUUGGGAGAUUAAUGGUGUCCCAAGUAACCAGUUGAAUCCCGAAUCGAGGAAAUUAUUGACUCUGUUUAUCAGUCCGCGAACCAUAAAUCUAAGUAAGAAAUUCUGUUAACCCGAGAGAAGGUGUUAGGCAUUCCGGGGUUCCGUGGUUCUAGCACAGUCGCUCAACUGUCAUAUUUGGCUUAUUUAUCUGAUUUAAAACAUGUUUUAAACUAUGCACUUUGUAACUUUAAACUGCUUUUAUUAUUUUAAAGAGAAUUACAACGUUGUUAAAACACGUCUCAAACCACGUCACAUAAAUGCACCCGUGGUUUUUGACACAUUCAAACUUCGCUGGGAUUUGAACUUGGAUCACAUAAAUGUGCACCCGAGUUUAGGAAGGUAAUAUAACUAAAUGUCGGGCCAAAAGAAACUAACGUAUUAUUAACUUUGCGGGAAGCUAUAAAAUUCACUAAAUGGCGCGUUGCGAGGGUUAAAUAUUUUUCAUAGAAACAGUUAAGAGGGCCACGCUAUUCCUGCAUUUUAUUUGGCGUGGCGCAUCUCGUUUUUAUUUUUAAGGCCAUCUUAAAAGAAUUACGAUUUUCUAUUAAGAUUGUCUCUAAAAACCUAUGGAUUAAUCGUUAUGUAAAGUUCUAAAUAUGCUCAGGCCCAAACUUAAACAAAGGGAAUUUAUAUUGCUAAAAAAACCUCUUAAGUCGAAUCUGUUGCCUCGAAUUGAAGGCCCUCGCUAAUGUUGCAAACUGAAACCCAAACAAAUAGAAUUCCAAGCCCUUAGCAUUUCAGGCUUUAAAUUUAGCUCAUACAAGAGGCGGUUUAGCCUUGGGCUUCAACACAAGCCCAAUUCGGAGCUACAAAAUGCACUGGUCCAGCUGGGACUUCUUAUUAAAUACCAGGCUCGAUAUUCGGCCUAGUUUUACAGUCCAAGCAAUACGUGUAAGUCUAGGUGAAAUCAACGUAAGUGUAGAAGUAUGUGAUUUACCAUUUGAUCAUCUAAUUUGGUACUUUGAACAUUGACUAUCCGUUACUCCAAUUUACUAGUUAGCUACCUUUAAAUUUCAAUUUAAAUGGACAUAUCAACAAUGACAACCUAUGGGAUACAUGAUUUUAUUUUUAUUAGUCCUAUCACCUGUUAACUGGUAGAAAUGAAAACAGUGUAAACUAACCAAUCCAUUCUACCAUCUAAUUUAAAAUUUAGACAAAACUUUAUACUAGAAUCCGGAAUCAACUAGUAAUGAGUGUAGGAGUAAAAAAUUAUUCAAUACAUUAGAUCAAAUGUUCAAAUUAUCAUGAACUCAUAGAAUUGUACUUAAACCACUAGCGUUCGAAACUAAAUAGCAAUAUGUCACAGUCCAUAGUUCACAAUUAAUUAACAUGAAUACUUAGGCAUAUCAAAGAGCUCACAUAGUACAAAACAAAACAGAAUCUAUAAGGAAUUCAACAUCAACUUCAUAUCAUCUCGUUUUCAACUUGAGAGAUACAUUGGAUCGAAUUCAAAAAGUGUACCUGGAAGUAGAAUGAAAUGUAAGCGAAGAGAGGAAUCAGCAACAACAAGCAACAGUCACAAACCAGAGUUUCAACCCAAAACAAUGUCACAGCAACCAAGAAUGAUUUGCAUAGGAAUAAACAACAAUAAACCACUGAAAACAGAUCAACCUAAGCCCAAGCAAACUCGAAAUUAUCCAGAAUCCUUCUGAAUUUGAACUAAUGAAAUCUGGAAGCACUAAAACUAUUUUUGGACCUUCUAUGAACUUGAGAGUUUGAUCUAAAGCUAAAACUCAAAUUUAAUUUAAGAAAAAAACUCGAAUAAAGUAGUAUUUUUGGAGUUUUUUUCUAUUUUUUCCGGAUUGUUUUGAGGAACUAAGAUCUAAGAUGAGUUUCCUAGCUCUAAAAUUUAGAUCUGGUUUUUGGAUUUGAUAUUCAAAAUUUUCAGAUUGCCAAUGUUGCAGAAGGCUUUUUGGGAGAAAUUUUUCAGAUAUGAACUUUUUGGGGGAAUUUUCAGGCGCUAAACCUAUGUAACAAGGCAAUAGGCAUGCUUUUUUAUAGGUAAAGUCUAAGGCUGCCUUCAGAUUGCUAUUUACACCUUUAGUCCCUCUUUUAUUUUUAGAUUUUAACUGUUUAGUCCUUUAUUUGUUAGCUUGUUGCUCGAUUCACAUUAUUAAGUUCUUCAAAC